Molecule: ribosomal RNA, 407 nt
Filed under: Verrucomicrobiota bacterium
Lineage: Bacteria; Pseudomonadati; Verrucomicrobiota
Description: Verrucomicrobia bacterium partial 16S ribosomal RNA
Rfam family: Bacterial small subunit ribosomal RNA
Source: RNAcentral
UGGGGAAUAUUGGACAAUGGAGGAAACUCUGAUCCAGCAAUUCUGUGUGUGUGAAGAAGGUUUUAGGACUGUAAAACACUUUUAGUAGGGAAGAAAAAAAUGACGGUACCUACAGAAGAAGCAACGGCUAAAUACGUGCCAGCAGCCGCGGUAAUACGUAUGUUGCGAGCGUUAUCCGGAAUUAUUGGGCUUAAAGGGCAUCUAGGCGGUAAGACAAGUUGAAGGUGAAAACCUGUGGCUCAACCAUAGGCUUGCCUACAAAACUGUUGAACGAGAGUACUGGAAAGGUGGGUGGAACUACACGAGUAGAGGUGAAAUUCGUAGAUAUGUGUAGGAAUGCCGAUGAUGAAGAUAACUCACUGGACAGAAACUGACGCUGAAGUGCGAAAGCUAGGGGAGCAAACAGG